This 279-nucleotide ribosomal RNA is filed under the name uncultured archaeon. Its description in RNAcentral is "partial 16S rRNA". It matches the Rfam family "Archaeal small subunit ribosomal RNA", at positions 1047 to 1325 of the family's 1478-position model. The record is from RNAcentral.
GAGACCCACGCCCACAGUUGCCAGCGUACUCUCCGGAGUGACGGGUACACUGUGGGGACCGCCGCUGCUAAAGCGGAGGAAGGAAUGGGCAACGGUAGGUCAGUAUGCCCCGAAUGUCCCGGGCUACACGCGGGCUACAAUGGCUGGUACAAUGGGUAUCUACCCCGAAAGGGGAUGGAAAUCUCCUAAAGCCAGUCUUAGUUCGGAUUGAGGGCUGCAACUCGCCCUCAUGAAGCUGGAAUCCGUAGUAAUCGCGUUUCAAUAGAACGCGGUGAAUAC